Molecule: long non-coding RNA, 587 nt
Filed under: Gallus gallus (chicken)
Lineage: Eukaryota; Metazoa; Chordata; Aves; Galliformes; Phasianidae
Description: lncRNA (ENSGALG00010025715.1)
Source: RNAcentral
CAGGUAUUUCCCUUUGAGUUUGCUGCUUUCUUGGAGCACACCACUACGAGCAAAUGUUCCAUGAUGCAUAGAUGAAGGAUGGGGGCUCACAUACUGGGCAUGAGCUUUGUGUGCAUUUCAGGCUGGAAUUUGCUUUAAUUUGUUUUUCAGGUUUUGAUCUUCCUGGGUUUGGCUGGACAUUCUGCUGUUGGUACUUUCAGCUGCAAGUCUUCAUAUUAUGAGCCUCAUGUAGAGACGGCACGGCAGUUAUCUUGGUGGAACUUCUUACUGAAGAGAAAUGAGGAAUAUUAACCCAUGAGGGACCAAAGGAGGCUGUAGGAGAGCCAGAAAAGGAACAAAUAUCUCCAGAGUUAACAGACUAAUGCCUCAACCACGUGCCGAGCCCAACACCUCCCUCUGCUUCUCUUCCUCAGGGAGCUGUAGCGAGCAGUGAGGUUGCCUCUCAGCCUCCUCUUCUCCAGACUGGACAACCCUGGUGUCCUCAGUCUCUCCUCACAGGACAUGCCUUCCAGACCCAUUACCAGAUUUGAUGCCUCCUCUGGGUGUUUUCAAGGACCUCAACAGCCUUUUUUUUUUAAAUUGUGGAU